This is a long non-coding RNA of Esox lucius (northern pike), 1759 nucleotides long. The record is from Ensembl. Lineage: Eukaryota; Metazoa; Chordata; Actinopteri; Esociformes; Esocidae.
UGCAGAUAUUUAUUUACACAUACAUCUGCAUUGCAUAGACUUUUAGAAUUUGAGCCAAGGGCUGGGAUCAGGGACAAGGGGCUAUGAGGACAGGAAGGGGCUGCCCAACCUUAACUGCACAUCCUAUUACUGCAUCAUUAUCAUAAUCAUCACCAUUAUUAUUUAUUUAUUUAUUAUAAUCAUUAUCAACAUCAAGACAACUGUUGGACUGUUCCCAAGUCACGCGAGAAGUAAAAAACUGAUCAGCAUCAACAUGGGUACAAAGAUUGGCUUGGAUAUGCAGUUUAUCAUGAAGAACAUUCAGAAUCUCAGUACACUAAUAUGAGCACUUGAUACCUCCACUGACUGUUCUGUCUUAAUACAACCCGACCUUGACCCUUAACCUGAGUUCUUAACAGACUAAUCCCACAACCCCGACAACAGUUGAUGUACAGUUGUUAAGGGACAUUUCAGGGUUUUGUCAUUGCUUCCCCAGAGUCAGAAGAUCUAAUGGAUACCAUUUCAAGUCUCCACAUCCAAUAAGAAUGAAGUCAGAGGUAGUUUUGCAAGCUAAUAAUAACUAGCUAUAGCGCAAUGACUGCUCUAAAACUAUGUAACAGUGGUGCUUGUUAGCAACUUGCUUCUAACUGCACGCAGAUACAUAAGAAUGGUAUCCACAAAUUAGCCUGACUGUUGGGAAGUUCAUCACGAAGAAUCCCCUGAAGUACAUUCUGGAUUAGACAACAUUUUUGUAAUUGAGAAUACCUGAAAUCUGAUCAGUCUCACCAUUAAGUCCCUAUGGAGUUGAUAGGAGACUGUGGACACUGGAAGCCUUAUUGGGUGUUGCUGCAUAACAGACUAACAUGAAAUUAGUAAUGUUUCAAAUUACUGUCUGAGACCACAGGGGCUUUGUCAGGUUCCAGUCCACUUAGUAUCUCUGUGGUCACCUAAAGAACAUAUAUUUGAGCUGAUCUGUAAUUGCAUCACCAAUGGUUAAGAAUGUUAAUAAAAUAAAAAGGAAAACAGCGAAUUGAUAAAAUGAUAGAAAUAACAGGAUAAAAAAAUGGGGUUAAAAACCUGAGGAUUGGCUAGGAACUGUACAAACACGAGCCAACCACUUUCUCCUCUGUAGCUGUUACUUAAUGCUAGUUCACAGUGUUCACUGUUUAUUAUUCACAGCACAACAGAGUAUAGACUUGUUUCUCUCUGUCGUUACCUCAUCAAAACAUUUUGAGAUUAAAGGCGCUAACAUGGCCAAGCUCUCUAAAUACAUGGCUUUGCUUAUCAUACAAGCAAUGUGCUGCUCCUCACAACAGAAGACCCAAUGGACUGGCCUUAUACACCUAGUGUUCUGUCUGUAUCCAUAACAACACCUAUUCAGACAUCUGUCAUCCACAUAUCAGGAAGUGUACAUCGGACUCCUCCCACUCCAUCUGUCUCCACCUAGUAAAACAAACUAAGUAAAAUUGACAAUUCAGAGAGUAUUGUAAGGAAAAAGUACCUUGUUGUUUUUACAAAUAUUUCUAUACAUUUAUAUAUAAUUAAUUAAUACAAAUACACAAAUUAGUAUGAACAUAGUGAAAUUGUAAAUCCUCCCCAUCCAUACUUUGCCACAGAUUUUAAAGGGAAAUGACCCAGUUUAAGUAAGACACAACAGACUACACAGUCAUUACACUCAGUGAGCAGGGCUGUCAAAAGUAUAUUUUCUGUGAGAAGAAAGCUUAGCUAGGUUCAAAACAGCAUAGCUGUGACAACAUGGGGUUAAGUCACUAACAACUCU